CAGCCGCCGCGGGAAUACGUAGGGUGCAAGCGUUAAUCGGAAUUACUGGGCGUAAAGCGUGCGCAGGCGGUUCGCUAAGACAGAUGUGAAAUCCCCGGGCUUAACCUGGGAACUGCAUUUGUGACUGGCGGGCUAGAGUAUGGCAGAGGGGGGUAGAAUUCCACGUGUAGCAGUGAAAUGCGUAGAGAUGUGGAGGAAUACCGAUGGCGAAGGCAGCCCCCUGGGCCAAUACUGACGCUCAUGCACGAAAGCGUGGGGAGCAAACAGGAUUAGAUACCCGAGUAGUCCCUGUCUCUUAUAA
This 301-nucleotide ribosomal RNA is filed under the name uncultured bacterium. Its description in RNAcentral is "partial 16S ribosomal RNA". It matches the Rfam family "Bacterial small subunit ribosomal RNA", at positions 509 to 809 of the family's 1533-position model. The record is from RNAcentral.